RNAcentral lists this ribosomal RNA (301 nucleotides) under uncultured bacterium. RNAcentral describes it as "partial 16S ribosomal RNA". It matches the Rfam family "Bacterial small subunit ribosomal RNA", at positions 509 to 807 of the family's 1533-position model. The record is from RNAcentral.
CAGUAGCCACGGUAAUACGAAGGGUGCAAGCGUUACUCGGAAUUACUGGGCGUAAAGCGUGCGUAGGUGGUGGUUUAAGUCCGUUGUGAAAGCCCUGGGCUCAACCUGGGAAUUGCAGUGGAUACUGGGUCACUAGAGUGUGGUAGAGGAUAGUGGAAUUUCCGGUGUAGCAGUGAAAUGCGUAGGGAUCGGAAGGAACAUCUGUGGCGAAGGCGACUAUCUGGGCCAACACUGACACUGAGGCACGAAAGCGUGGGGAGCAAACAGGAUUAGAUACCCCUGUAGUCCCUGUCUCUUAUAC